AUGCAAGUCGAGCGGUAACAGGUGUAGCAAUACAUGCUGACGAGCGGCGAACGGGUGAGUAAUGCUUCGGAAUCUGCCCAAUGGUGGGGAAUAACCAGCCGAAAGGUUGGCUAAUACCGCAUAAGUCCUACGGGGGAAAGCAGGGGAUCGCAAGACCUUGCGCCGAUGGAUGAGCCGAAGUCGGAUUAGCUAGUUGGUAGGGUAACGGCCUACCAAGGCGACGAUCCGUAGCUGGUCUGAGAGGACGACCAGCCACACUGGGACUGAGACACGGCCCAGACUCCUACGGGAGGCAGCAGUGGGGAAUAUUGGACAAUGGGGGAAACCCUGAUCCAGCGACGCCGCGUGUGUGAAGAAGGCCUGCGGGUUGUAAAGCACUUUUAGUGGGGAUGAAAAGCUCAGGGCUAAUACCUCUGGGUCUUGACCUAACCCAAAGAAAAAGCACCGGCUAACUCUGUGCCAGCAGCCGCGGUAAUACAGAGGGUGCGAGCGUUAAUCGGAAUUACUGGGCGUAAAGCGUGCGUAGACGGUUAUGUAAGUCGGGUGUGAAAGC
This 553-nucleotide ribosomal RNA is filed under the name uncultured bacterium. Its description in RNAcentral is "bacterial SSU rRNA". It matches the Rfam family "Bacterial small subunit ribosomal RNA", at positions 55 to 601 of the family's 1533-position model. The record is from RNAcentral.